Molecule: transfer RNA, 74 nt
Filed under: Candidatus Aenigmatarchaeota archaeon
Lineage: Archaea; Nanobdellati; Candidatus Aenigmatarchaeota
Description: tRNA-Arg
Rfam family: tRNA
About the family: Transfer RNA (tRNA) molecules are approximately 80 nucleotides in length. Their secondary structure includes four short double-helical elements and three loops (D, anti-codon, and T loops).
Source: RNAcentral
GGGCCUGUAGCUCAGUUGGAUAGAGCAGUAGCCUCCUAAGCUAAAGGUCGGGGGUUCGAAUCCCCCCAGGCCCG